Molecule: transfer RNA, 71 nt
Filed under: Rhipicephalus sanguineus (brown dog tick)
Lineage: Eukaryota; Metazoa; Arthropoda; Arachnida; Ixodida; Ixodidae
Description: transfer RNA glycine (anticodon GCC)
Rfam family: tRNA
About the family: Transfer RNA (tRNA) molecules are approximately 80 nucleotides in length. Their secondary structure includes four short double-helical elements and three loops (D, anti-codon, and T loops).
Source: Rfam by way of RNAcentral
GCGUCGGUGGUUCAGUGGUAGAUAACUCGCCUGCCACGCGGGUGGCCCGGGUUCGAUUCCCGGCCGACGCA